UAUUGGACAAUGGGCGCAAGCCUGAUCCAGCAAUGCCGCGUGAGUGAUGAAGGCCUUAGGGUUGUAAAGCUCUUUUACCCGGGAUGAUAAUGACAGUACCGGGAGAAUAAGCUCCGGCUAACUCCGUGCCAGCAGCCGCGGUAAUACGAAGGGGGCUAGCGUUGUUCGGAUUUACUGGGCGUAAAGCGCGUGUAGGCGGGCUGGAAAGUUGGGGGUGAAAUCCCGAGGCUCAACCUCGGAACUGCCUCCAAAACUUCCAGCCUGGACUCAAGCAGAGGCAAGUGGAAUUGCGAGUGUAGAGGUGAAAUUCGUAGAUAUUCGCAGGAACACCAGUGGCGAAGGCGACUUGCUGGGCUUGUAGUGACGCUGAGACGCGAAAGCGUGGGGAGC
RNAcentral lists this ribosomal RNA (390 nucleotides) under uncultured bacterium. Its description in RNAcentral is "bacterial SSU rRNA". It matches the Rfam family "Bacterial small subunit ribosomal RNA", at positions 362 to 769 of the family's 1533-position model. The record is from RNAcentral.